Molecule: long non-coding RNA, 761 nt
Organism: Epinephelus moara (kelp grouper)
Lineage: Eukaryota; Metazoa; Chordata; Actinopteri; Perciformes; Serranidae
Exons: 3
Source: RefSeq, a predicted model, not a curated record
GAGCGGUAACAAGACAGAAAGGAUGGUGCCUCACAGGAUGCACGGGUGAUGGAGAGACAAGGAGAGGAGCUCGAUGGUGACUGUGAGAGUUGUGUCACAAACCUUGGAUUUGGAAGUGCUUCUAUGAGGUUAGUUUGCCACCAAAUUAUCUGAAAUCCAUCUGUCUGUUACAUUAACUCACUCAGAGCUUCAGGAUCAAGUUAUUUCUGGUUAGCUUCUAUCCUGUCAUUCCUUAUCUUGCAGAGGCUGCUCAUAUUUUUUGUGCCCUAUGUGAGGUGGUUCGCGUGUGUUUGUGUGUGUGUGCGGUGGUGCACGAAUGCAUUUUAGAGUCUUUUGCCCAUCCAAGCAGAAUAAUGGGUGUGAAGGCAGAGCUGUGGCACAAGAGAUCUCCAUUUUGAGGGGGAUAAAAUGCGGUGAGCCUGCAUUAUUCAGCACUGACCUAACAGAAAGGCUGGAUCCUGCACGCAGUUGUCGGCUCUGCCAGGCCUGGUGGAUAGGCGGUGGCAGCCGUAUGGAAGCAAGUUUGUUCAGUUCCUCCAGAACAGCUGGGAGAAAAGUCUGAUGCAGUAAAGAGGGCGGAGCUACGGGUGCAGAAGUUCCUCGCAUCAUGGAUUUGAGAGCUGUAUCUGAUGGGUCUGCAAACUGCAGCGCUGCAGUGUGACGUGAGACGUAUCAGAGAAGAAGACAGGGACGGACAAAAGGAGGAGGGAGGACGUAGGAAUGCAAAAACAUGAAUGAACUCAAAGAUUAAAGAGUUUUUG